UGGGGAAUAUUGCACAAUGGAGGGAACUCUGAUGCAGCGACGCCGCGUGAACGAAGAAGGCUUUCGAGUCGUAAAGUUCUUUUAUAUGGGAAGAUAAUGACGGUACCAUAAGAAAAAGCCCCGGCUAACUACGUGCCAGCAGCCGCGGUAAUACGUAGGGGGCUAGCGUUGUCCGGAAUCACUGGGCGUAAAGGGUUCGCAGGCGGAAAUGCAAGUCAGGUGUAAAAGGCAGUAGCUUAACUACUGUAAGCAUUUGAAACUGCAUAUCUUGAGAAGAGUAGAGGUAAGUGGAAAUUUUAGUGUAGCGGUGAAAUGCGUAGAUAUUAAAAAGAAUACCGGUGGCGAAGGCGACUUACUGGGCUCAUUCUGACGCUGAGGAACGAAAGCGUGGGUAGCAAACAGG
This 403-nucleotide ribosomal RNA is filed under the name Verrucomicrobiota bacterium. RNAcentral's name for it is "Verrucomicrobia bacterium partial 16S ribosomal RNA". It matches the Rfam family "Bacterial small subunit ribosomal RNA", at positions 355 to 776 of the family's 1533-position model. Lineage: Bacteria; Pseudomonadati; Verrucomicrobiota. RNAcentral also lists the same sequence under 1 other name. The record is from RNAcentral.